CGGUUACUAUUCUAGGACAGGUUGAACCAACCAAACUUCAGUGGGGAGGGUACUUACCUAUGGAACUCAUGCAAGCCUUAAAACCUAGGGAUGAUUGUUGUGUGACUUGUCUCUGCUUGCAUAACAGCAUAACAUCAUAACAUCAUAACAUCAUGACAUCAUUGUACUAACCAUUUCAAGGACUUAGGGAUUUAACUUUGCUCUGUUUUGAAAAAAAAAAAAAAACAAAAAAAAAAGUUUCCCCUUUUGGUAGUUUAUGCAAAGUUAAAUUCCAAAAGGCCUUGAAAACAUUACAUACAUUGCAUAGCAUAACAUUGCAUAACAGGUGUUCUAAAGGGAUCAAUGUUCUCACGGUUUU
Molecule: long non-coding RNA, 358 nt
Filed under: Lathyrus oleraceus (garden pea)
Lineage: Eukaryota; Viridiplantae; Streptophyta; Magnoliopsida; Fabales; Fabaceae
Description: Pisum sativum (pea) long non-coding RNA (PSAT_LNC023959)
Source: RNAcentral